Molecule: unclassified non-coding RNA, 894 nt
Filed under: Hevea brasiliensis (rubber tree)
Lineage: Eukaryota; Viridiplantae; Streptophyta; Magnoliopsida; Malpighiales; Euphorbiaceae
Source: RNAcentral
AAAGCGAGUUGUUCAAUGAGCAGGGUAACCUAUAUAUUUCUUUCCUGAUUUUUAAUUGUUUUCUUCUUGUUUGCUGAGAACACUAAUCAACUUCUUUUCCUGCUUGGAUCAAAUUAAAUUCUAGCAAUUGAACAAUUUCACCUGGUAACAGGGUUGUCAACUUUGUCACAAAGUUAGCUUGUGGAAAAUGUUUCCAUUUCUAGUAUUUUGCCAUAUAGAUUUUAGUGGCAGUCAAUUUCAUAAAUAACUAGAAGCUCUUGUACUUUUUAAUUAUUUUAACGGCGGGCAAUUUUAAUUAUUUUCCUAGUGUCCUUUUCUGGAUAUCUUUUUUCCAUUAAUUUUUGUGCUCUGGUUUUUCCAAGAGUUCCAAUGACAAAAUGUCAAUCAUUAUCCUUGUUUUCAUAACAAUGGCGCCGGUCGCCCUUGUGGUUCUGGUGCACUGACCUCCUAUUUUGUCUCUUCCUGCUUAUGGGAAUUUUGAACUCUAUUAAUAUUUUUGAACUUGUUAAGUCAAUUGGGUGGAAGAAUUUGGCCCACGCAAUUGGUUUUUUGAUAACUUUUGACCUCAUAUAGCAAAGUUAUUAAAGUGGCAAUAAAUAGUGCUGUAGUGUUCAACUAAAAAGGAAGCAUGAUAACUUUUUGAAUAUCUCUGCUUUAAAUCUUGUGUUGAAAUGUUUGUGUGUGUGUAAAUAGUUCUCUUUUAUAUAAGCAAAGAGCACUUUGGUGGUGGUAUAUUUGUCCACCAAAUGGCAUGGCUUUCUCUAAAAGGUUGUAUUAACUUUUUGCUGUUUUGCAAUUACGCUUUUUCAACUACAUAUUUUGGUUAUACAGCUGAAUCUUGCAUAGAUGAUGAUAUGUAUCUUUUAUUGCAGAUCAAGCUAUUCAUAGCUCCAU